UUUUCAUAAUUGGCUCAAAUCCAAAAAUAUCAUCAUUAACCCUUUAAAUUGGAAUGCAAUUAAAAUUCGAUUACAGUUAAUUGACAAAAAUCUGGACUUUCUAAUUAAUGCACUGAUUGUAAUUUCAAAGCAUUUUAUUCAUACUUGUAAAUUCUUAAAUGUGAAACCUCACAUUAAUAGAUUACUCAACCGUCUCAACCUAAUCUCUAAAUUUUUACAUUACAUGAAUCAUAAGAACGCCCAGACAUUGUGUAAUUUAUUUGAUCUAUUUAUACUUUUGCUAUAGACCCUUACAUUUAUUGAUUAUUUUUUAAGUUAUCUUUGUUUUCAUAUUUUUUUUUUUUGUCUAUGAGACGUGAUGACGUCAUAACGUACGCCCAUGAACGUGAACUCAGCCACAGAAGUCUUCAAGAUGGCUUAGGUCCGAUGCGAGUGUCAGCUGGCCCAAGUUGAUAACGCACAUACGUCUAGUGAACCGGCGGUGCGUUUGAAAAAUAAGAGCGGAGACAGACGCAGAGGAUGCUGAUCUUGUUGAGACAGAAGGCAGCACGAACCGGAAGGCUCUAUGCGACAUUCUGCACCUCUAUGAUAAACAGGUGAGGUGUAACUGCAUGGCAUGAUCAACAUUAUGCAUUAGUGUAGCUAAAAGAAGGGGCUGACUUGGAUCGGUUCAUACUAAUCACUGAGCGUUUCUAAUAAAGUGAAUGACUGUAAAUGUUUACUUGUUUAAUUUAUAAAUAAUAUGAUUAA
Molecule: long non-coding RNA, 750 nt
Organism: Oryzias latipes (Japanese medaka)
Lineage: Eukaryota; Metazoa; Chordata; Actinopteri; Beloniformes; Adrianichthyidae
Source: RefSeq, a predicted model, not a curated record